RNAcentral lists this transfer RNA (72 nucleotides) under Ceratias uranoscopus (stargazing seadevil). RNAcentral's name for it is "tRNA-Asp". It matches the Rfam family "tRNA". Rfam says of the family: Transfer RNA (tRNA) molecules are approximately 80 nucleotides in length. Their secondary structure includes four short double-helical elements and three loops (D, anti-codon, and T loops). The record is from RNAcentral. Lineage: Eukaryota; Metazoa; Chordata; Actinopteri; Lophiiformes; Ceratiidae.
AAGACGCUAGUAAAACUGACAUUACACUGCUUUGUCAAGGCAGUAUCGCGGGUUUAAACCCCGCGUGUCUUA